GAUGAACGCUGGCGGCGUGCUUAACACAUGCAAGUCGAGCGAAGCACUUAAGUCUGAUUCUUCGGAUGAAGACUUUUGUGACUGAGCGGCGGACGGGUGAGUAACGCGUGGGUAACCUGCCUCAUACAGGGGGAUAACAGUUAGAAAUGACUGCUAAUACCGCAUAAGACCACGGUACCGCAUGGUACAGUGGUAAAAACUCCGGUGGUAUGAGAUGGACCCGCGUCUGAUUAGGUAGUUGGUGGGGUAACGGCCUACCAAGCCGACGAUCAGUAGCCGACCUGAGAGGGUGACCGGCCACAUUGGGACUGAGACACGGCCCAGACUCCUACGGGAGGCAGCAGUGGGGAAUAUUGCACAAUGGAGGAAACUCUGAUGCAGCGACGCCGCGUGAAGGAUGAAGUAUUUCGGUAUGUAAA
This 419-nucleotide ribosomal RNA is filed under the name uncultured bacterium. RNAcentral's name for it is "bacterial SSU rRNA". It matches the Rfam family "Bacterial small subunit ribosomal RNA", at positions 28 to 429 of the family's 1533-position model. The record is from RNAcentral.